UGUUAUAGGGCAAACCUGACACUACAUGAAUUUAGGCAUGAAAACAAACCCAGAGGAAUGAUCCAUGUUAUCGUAUAAUUGAGAUGAGCCACUCUCUGGCUCAGAAAUGUGCAAGACCUAAACACAGCUUGAGGUUAGUUCAAGUGCUUUAAAUCUGUAUGAGUAAACCACUCACAGGAAAAGAGAGGCAGGAAGUCAAACAGAGAAGAUUGUGAUUUUAAGAGCUUUAACAGGAUGAUGAAACAACAGAGAAAAACAGAGGUCAUUUUUGUCUGGGUCUUAGCCAUCUGGCUCUCUUCAGUUGUCAACAGUGAAAAGAAUUUGGCAGUACAUCCAACUGGCCUCACAACCGCAGACCAUGUGUAAACACGCCAGACCAGGACCUUCACAUCUGGCUUCUUCACCUGCGGGAUCGUCUGAGAACAACCAUGUGGACAGCUGAUGAAACUGCGGGUUUGAACAACCAAAUCAUUUCUGCACAAACUGUCAGAAACCAUGUCAGGGAAGCUCAUCUGUGAAUGUGGUCGUUUGGGUGAGCAGUUUGCUGAUGCCAACGUUGUGAACAGAUUGCCUCAUGGUGGAGGUGGGGUUAUGGUAUGGGCAGGCAUAAGCUACUGACAAUGAACACAAUUGUAUUUAAUCAAUGGCAAUUUGAAUCCCCAGAGAUACCGUGACGAGAUCCUGAGGCCCAUUGUCGUGCCAUUCAUCCGCAGCUAUCACCUCAUGUUUCAGCAUGAUAAUACACAGCCCCAUGUCACAAGGAUCUGUACACAAUUCCUGGAAGCUGAAAAUGUCCCAGUUCUUCCAUGGCCUGCAUGCUUACCAGACAUGUCAUCCAUUGAGCAUGUUUGGGAUGCUCUGGAUCAGUAGUCGCCAACUGGUCGAUCUUCAAGGCAUUCCUAGUCGAUCACCAAAUAUUUCUGUAGAAAAGCCAACGAACGAUAAAGACUUGUGUUCCUUUUUUAAAUCGUGUUGAGCGCACCUGGUAAGCAAAGUGUUUCCAUGAGACAAACUCUGCCUACCCACAGGACCGGCAAAUCUGUGACUAAAUCGAGUGCACCUAUUGUGCUGCCCAAUCGGAUAGCUCAAAUCACGGUGGCUACAGAGCUUCCAUGACCCUGGCCACAGCAAAGUUUAAUAGGCUACUAGCGUACGUAAGAUGUUAUAACUUUUAAAACCAUGACCACAGAGAGACUGUCAACGAAUACAGCAAAGAUUUUAUGAGAUCAACAUGAAUUUGUGCAUGAGGCAGAUGUGGUACGACUCGAGUUUCGCCAUCAGGUGGAACACGGUGUCCACUUUCUCUGGUCAGUCUCACCGGAGGAAAGGAAGGAGAGAGCAGGGACCGUGAGAGGUGGAUGGGACAAGUCUUUUGAACGGUCAUCCAGCUUGGAAUUCCAAGUCGGAAAACUCGGGCAUCUUUCUAGAGCUCCGACUUUUCGACCUGGAGAUCACUGACGUCGUGAUGCAGGUACCACCAGUCCAGUAAAAUAAAAAACAAACUAUUUGCCUCAAGUGCUAAACCAAUUGAUCUAUUUUGUUAUCAAAGCUCGAGUUCGAAAUAUAAUAUGGUCUUUGGCAGGCCAAUCAUAUAGCCAAUAUGCUGUGAUAAUGUAUUAGUCCUACGGCCCUAACCUCCUUUCUACAACUGUUUGUGAGGUUAAUGUAAAAAAAUAAGCAGUACAUCUCUGCAUGCUUUUUGACUGCCAAAGUGAUCUUGACUCAGAAAAGGUUGGUGACCACUGCUCUGGAUGGAGGUGUACGACAGCGUGUUCCCGCCAAUAUCCAGCAACUUCGCACAGCCAUUGAAGAAGAGUGGGGCAACAUUCCACAGGCCACAAUCAACUCUAUGCAUGAGCCAAAUGGUGGUCACACCAGAUACUGAAUGUUUUUUUGAUCUACGCCCCUACUUUUUAUUUUAUUUUUUAUCUGUGACCGACAGAUACAUAUCUGUAUUGCCAGUCAUGUGAAAUCCAUAGAUUAGGGUAUAAUGCAUUUAUUUAAAUUGACUGAUUUCCUUAUAUGAACUGUAACUCAGCAAAAUCCUUUAAAGUGUUGCAUUUGAUUUAUUUUUGGUCAGUGUAAAGAGUGUGUGUAAGCAUGGAAAGCUUCCUAUACCUGGCGAUAUAACAGUUUCCUCUUUAUCCAUUCAUUCACAGGUAAAGUGGAGCUGAGAACCAGUACUGAGGUAAAGGCUCAGUGUGAUCAGAAUGUGUCCCUGCAGUGUGACAUCAUGUCAUCGAACCCACUCAAGAUCAUUCUCUUUUCCUGGGUAUGGAAAAUGAAACAGCUGUGUGUGGUCAAUGCCACUGGUGUAUUCUCCUUUCCUGGCGUCCGGUGUGACAUCACAAACAACACCCUCACACUCAAUCUGACUCGGGUGAUGCUGUCCAGUCAGGGUAACUACACCUGCAAACUGCGCUCCAACCUAACGAUCACAGCUGCCAACACCACUGUGACAAUGCAAGAGUGCCUAAGGACAUCUGAGCACAAAGUGUUCCAGAAUGAGUCUCAGGUUGAGUGCCAGUUUUUUGGAGUUUACCCAGAAGGCACAGUACACUGGUUCCUGGGCUCUGAGAAUAUAACAGAGUCCGCCAGCACCAAGAGCCAGCUGGAUGAAGAGGGGCUGUUUGAUAUAAGGAGUACCCUGCCUACCCAGGCUGGGACUGAGCCUUACAACUGCUCCUUGUGGAUACCUAGUAGUGGAACCUACAGCUCUCACAAACAGCUGCACUACUCCAGAAUGAUCUCUUCAGGGACAAAGACUAGGAGCAGACUGCUGUUGGUCUUCAUCCUGGUUGGACUCAUAAUCAUAACAUAGGACUACUCAUGGGAAUGUCAGGAGGUUUUUUACUGAACAUGGGACUUCGAACUACAGUAGGAAAAAGGGCUUUCCUGGUCAGGGCACAUUUACACAGGAUGGAUCAGGGCCUUUCUCUUACUGAUUGAAGAGAAAGCAAACCUGGACUGCCAUGGCCAAAGUGGAUAUAUGUUUUCACUUUUUAUACUGGGAAGCAAAAUAUCAAAGUAAUUACAAUAAAUACAAUUGAAUUUUAAACUGAAAAUCAGUGUACAUUGGGAUUUGAGAAUACUGUAAGAAGUGUUCAUUGUUUGUCUUCAACGUUAUACACUUGUUUAAAUUGCAUUGCUUAUUACAGUAGUAGAAUACUGCUUCCUGGUGGUGAAAGUGUUUACUGAUGGAAAUAGUAUUGCUGUUAGAUGCGUAAUGAAGAUAUUCUAAAUUGUAUUGUUGAAUUGACUGAUCUUGCUUAUUAAGCCUGUCAUAACUUGUUGCUGUGUUUUACAGUCAGAACUGAUUAGACUGAUUUAUAUAAUAAUCAAUGCAAUGUCAAAACAUGGCUAGAAGGACAUGUUACUGUGUGUUCUGGAUUCUAAAAUACAAGUUGUAUUAUACCAUAGCAAAUAUAGUCACCCAUGUUGUUCUCUGUACUAGUUCUCCAUUUAAAAAUGCACCAGACCACUGAGGGAACUCAUGACAUUGAUAGUUAAUGAAUGAGGACUCAUGGUCAUUCAAAUUGCAUUUCUAGUUCCUUCUCAGUGUACCACAAGGAGGCAGAGUCAUCCCACUAGAGAGGACUGUCAAACCAAUCAUACACAACUCUUCUCCCUCUGCAUACAAACACACACUCAUGCUGUGUGUAUUCCAAUCCAACUGUUCUGUAUAAAUCAACACUUUGAUGUGACACAUUUCCUAUCAAUUUCCGCUACGCCAAUGUGGGGUCUCCUGCAAAGUGAAGGAGUGGAGGGUCAAAUGUCUCAUUAUAAAACACUCAAAUCAA
Oncorhynchus keta (chum salmon) is the source of this 3800-nucleotide RNA transcript. RefSeq lists it as uncharacterized. The record is from RefSeq and is a predicted model, not a curated record. The transcript is spliced from 5 exons. Lineage: Eukaryota; Metazoa; Chordata; Actinopteri; Salmoniformes; Salmonidae.